ACGAACGCUGGCGGCGUGCUUAACACAUGCCAGUCGCACGGAAAGGCCCUGCUUUUGUGGGGUGCUCGAGUGGCGAACGGGUUAGUAACACGUUAGUAACCUGCCCUUGUCUUUGGGAUAACUUCGGGAAACUUGGGCUAAUACCGGAUAGGAGCUCCUGCUGCAUGGUGGGGGUUGGAAAGUUUUGGCGGUUGGGGAUGGACUCGCGGCUUAUCAGCUUGUUGGUGGGGUAGUGGCUUACCAAGGCUUUGACGGGUAGCCGGCCUGAGAGGGUGACCGGCAACAUUGGGACUGAGAUACGGCCCAGACUCCUACGGGAGGCAGCAGUGGGGAAUAUUGCACAAUGGGCGGAAGCCUGAUGCAGCAACGCCGCGUGCGGGAUGACGGCCUUCGGGUUGUAAACCGCUUUCGCCUGUGACGAAGCGUGAGUGACGGUAAUGGGUAAAGAAGCACCGGCUAACUACGUG
RNAcentral lists this ribosomal RNA (467 nucleotides) under uncultured bacterium. RNAcentral's name for it is "partial 16S ribosomal RNA". It matches the Rfam family "Bacterial small subunit ribosomal RNA", at positions 29 to 507 of the family's 1533-position model. The record is from RNAcentral.